AUUCCCUUCUCUCCCUCCCACUAAAAAGUUUGCGACGGCUGCGCUGUUCUUCCCAUCAGCGCCGACUGCUGCUUCGUUGGAAUCCAGAUUCGGUUGUGGGGGAGGUGGAAAGACGACCGGCGACGAAGGGCCUCUGGACGACGCCGCCUCUACGACCACGAUGACAUCUCAGUCUCACUCUCAAACGGUUCCAGCAGCCGGGGCAAGCACAUCGCGAGAUUGUAGGCUCUGGGAUUCAGAAUGAAUGGAUCAUUGGUGUGGUACCAAGUGGUGAUGAAGAACAAGUUGAAGUUGAACUGCUGCAGAUCUCAGAUCUCUUCUAUACUUGUUAUGUUCAAAUUUAUAUUGAGAAUCCUCUGUUUUUUACUGAAAAUACCCUGUUUUCUGAGAAAAACACGCACAUGUAUUAGUAUAGAUUUGUGAUAUACAUGCAUAAGUACUGUAGUCGCGAAAUGGGUUAGCGGCCGCUAUAGCCGGCGAUAGCGGCUGUAGCGUUGGCAUAGAGCCAGCCGCUAAAUGCCUUAGCCCGCGAUCUGAAACUUUGGUUCUGCCACAGUAGGCUGCUGGCGGCGGCGGCGGGCCGAUGUCGCCCUUCCACAUGUAGCUGUCUCGCGCGGGUCGUGUUCCCCAGUCCAGGACAGGCCCGUCGGGUUCACGCCGGGCCGCGUAGUUGCUUCGCAAUCUCGGGGAGAGGAAGUUGCCUUCUGUGCCACACUGCCACCACUGGCGCUGUACCACGGGAUUGGGAUAGAUGAUACAUAUGACAUGUGGGCCAAUGUAGUCAGCCACAGUAACAAAUGACCCGAUCGGGAAUGCCUUUUUCCCGGUGUGCCAAACUAAUCCAGGGUUGAGGUUGACUGGGAUAUGUGAGUAUAGGGUAUCGACUUUAGGGAUUGAGAAGUUACGGUUUGAUCCCGAUGAAGUAUAUGAAUUCAAGGUUUAUAAUAGACUUCACUCCAGAAAGGAUGAACCGGUCCAGAGCUCCUUCCUCCAAUCCAUUGCACUACCUCUCUUCCUGCUCCUUCCCUCCUUCUCACCCCAUCCUAUGUAUUUUCAAUUUGUUUGCUAAAUAAUACUCCAUGGUGCUUGCACGCCCAUGGAUCUGGAAGUAGACAUUUUAGUGCUUUUCCUAUUCCAUUAUCUGCUCUUUAUUUUUUUUGCUAAGGGUACUGUUUUUCUGCGUGGAGGAUUAGGCUGGUUAUAUAGUCAGAUUAAGAGUUCUGCUCUGAGACAUACUGUGCUAAAGAACUAAUUAUUUUGUACUCGACCCCUCUGCGAUGGGACUUUUCGUGGCAGUACAUUCUUUGUGCCCUUGCCAGGAAUAUCUGACGUGCGUCAUGACACAAGCAGUUUUUGAGGGCUUAAUGGUAGCGCUGGUUCUCUCAUACUCGCCAUCCUCACUGCAUCUGUCACUUUCAGUGCCAUCUCUGUUUCCCUCCACUAUGCCCCCAAGGCCAAGGUACGCACAUACAACAGGGGUUGCGAUGAAAGAUGUCUUUCCAUCUAGCUCCUUUACUGGUCUGUACCAGGUGAUGAAGAUGGCAUGCCUCUAUUUGAUUAAAACAACUGGUUAAUACCUAGAGCUGCAUUUUCAACAUUGCAUUUCAAAAUUAAAUGAGGAACCAUUUUUUGUUUGCAAUCUUGAGGUUUAUAGUCUGAAUCAAAACUUUAAAGCAAGAAGUAGGCUUAUACUUGAGGUUUGUGUUUUUUUUAACUUUGAGGAGCAGAGGAGAACAAGUCCAUGCUAGAACCAGCCAAGGCACCGUCACACUGAUAGUCAAACCACCAAGGAGUUGAGGGCUGAACCUUGUGCUUCGCAUGGUGGAAGCAAUCGAAAAAGAUUGAGGUUGCUUGUUCCUAGGAGGUUACCAUCGAGACACACGGGCCAUCGAUCACAUGUUUUUUAAAUGCGUCUUUAGAGAAUAAGAUGUCAGAUUAUGUUUCUUAUAAAUGUUUUACUUCCUUGACAAUAACUCAUUCGGUUGUCUUUUGUAUAUGAUAUAAUAUAUUCCAUUGUUAUCAUCUUUUUUUAUAGUUCCUCCAAUGUGCCAACUAUAGUUUUUUGGAUGAACCAACUAUCCAUGCUAUCUUUGUAAGAAAAUCAGAAGAUUUUGAGCAAUAGCUAUGUAUUUAUAUGACAA
Molecule: non-coding RNA, 2141 nt
Organism: Triticum urartu
Lineage: Eukaryota; Viridiplantae; Streptophyta; Magnoliopsida; Poales; Poaceae
Source: RefSeq, a predicted model, not a curated record